Molecule: long non-coding RNA, 1099 nt
Filed under: Equus caballus (horse)
Lineage: Eukaryota; Metazoa; Chordata; Mammalia; Perissodactyla; Equidae
Description: lncRNA (ENSECAG00000048386.1)
Source: RNAcentral
CCCAAGGAGGUGGUUGUGAGCAUCAUUUCCUGAGCUGCUCAGGCGGUCCUGUGAGACAGCUCGGUCACCAUGGCAAUAGUGAACUCCAUAACGCACGCCUGCGUUGGCUCAUCUGUCUUCUCUGUUUUAUUCCUCUUGCUUCCCGCUCCUGCUCCCUGGUGUCGCUUUCCAAAUAAACUGCCUACGCACGAGGCCUUGUCGCAGGCCCUGCUUCCGGGGGAACCCAGGCGGAGAGGUUUUUAUUUUAGUCGUCGGACACACAGUCAUAUUGCCAGCCCCACACCCGUGGAACCUAGAAAAGCCAACUAAAUCAAUUGCUACAGCCAUUGCCCCAGAACCCAGGAAGGACAGUACAGACCCCCUACCAGCCAGUCACCGCAGUGCAGACUGGAUGGAAUGUGGGGAAAGGGAGGCAGAAAACAGAAGAUCCAGAGGAAAGAGGUUCUGCCGGAUUUGUCUUCACAGGAUCAGGUCGGGCUGGGGCAUUUGUCAAGGUUCUCAGUCCCUCAGUGUAAAACUCAGUGGGGUUAAGUGUGGAACCAUGUACUACUUCGGAAUGGGUACAAAUUGACUUAGCCACCUUUUCUAUUCUGGAUAGUCUAAGUCAAAACACGACAAAGGUUCAUUUUUCAAAGAACAGGACUUCGAGUUAGCCACUAAUCUGAACGUGGCCACAUAGAUAAGGACAACUGAUGUCUCAGUGCUCACCUGUAUGGACUCAUGACCGAGGACCAAAUGUUCCCUCCCUCCCCCUCCAUGCCUCAUCACCACGUAAGUCCCCCUGUGCCAGAGAUGUGAUGGAAACCUCACAGGCCAAAGGAGCCACGGAGUCAGAAACGAUGGCGUGAUAGAAAAUAUAGUCGUAACUCUUGAACAAAUGUGUUUGUGGGCCAAGAUUUAUAGCUCUUUCACACGAUACAGGAGAAAACCCUCUCCAAAAACUCAAUAUCCGUCUCAGGCUAUUUCUGCAAAUCCAGAGUGUCCAAUCUCUGCUUGUGUAGGUCACAGUCACAAAGGGUCACGUGGCCAGGGCUGGAUGACACCAGCAAAAGCCUCACGGUGAUUGAAAUGUCAAACUCCAAUCACGCCAUAGUCAGCC